GCGGGCUAAUACAUGCAGUCGAGCGRACCGACGGGAGCUUGCUCCCUUAGGUUAGCGGCGGACGGGUGAGUAACACGUGGGUAACCUGCCUGUAAGACUGGGAUAACUCCGGGAAACCGGGGCUAAUACCGGAUGCUUGAUUGAACCGCAUGGUUCAAUCAUAAAAGGCGGCUUCGGCUGCCGUUUACAGAUGGACCCGCGGCGCAUUAGCUAGUUGGUGAGGUAACGGCUCACCAAGGCGACGAUGCGUAGCCGACCUGAGAGGGUGAUCGGCCACACUGGGACUGAGACACGGCCCAGACUCCUACGGGAGGCAGCAGUAGGGAAUCUUCCGCAAUGGACGAAAGUCUGACGGAGCAACGCCGCGUGAGUGAUGAAGGUUUUCGGAUCGUAAAGCUCUGUUGUUAGGGAAGAACAAGUACCGUUCGAAUAGGGCGGUACCUUGACGGUACCUAACCAGAAAGCCACGGCUAACUACGUGCCAGCAGCCGCGGUAAUACGUAGGUGGCAAGCGUUGUCCGGAAUUAUUGGGCGUAAAGCGCGCGCAGGCGGUUUCUUAAGUCUGAUGUGAAAGCCCCCGGCUCAACCGGGGAGGGUCAUUGGAAACUGGGGAACUUGAGUGCAGAAGAGGAGAGUGGAAUUCCACGUGUAGCGGUGAAAUGCGUAGAGAUGUGGAGGAACACCAGUGGCGAAGGCGACUCUCUGGUCUGUAACUGACGCUGAGGCGCGAAAGCGUGGGGAGCGAACAGGAUUAGAUACCCUGGUAGUCCACGCCGUAAACGAUGAGUGCUAAGUGUUAGAGGGUUUCCGCCCUUUAGUGCUGCAGCAAACGCAUUAAGCACUCCGCCUGGGGAGUACGGUCGCAAGACUGAAACUCAAAGGAAUUGACGGGGGCCCGCACAAGCGGUGGAGCAUGUGGUUUAAUUCGAAGCAACGCGAAGAACCUUACCAGUCUUGACAUCCUCUGACACCCCUAGAGAUAGGCUUCCYCUUCGGGGGCAGAGUGACAGGUGGUGCAUGGGUUGUCGUCAGCUCGUGUCGUGAGAAUGGUGGGUAGUCCCGCACGAGCGCACCCGUGGAUCUAGUGCAGCAUCAGUGGGCACUCUAGUGACUGCCGUGACAAUCGAGAAGUGGGAKACGUCGACWCAUGUCCCUAUGACUGGCGGGC
RNAcentral lists this ribosomal RNA (1168 nucleotides) under uncultured Bacillus sp. Its description in RNAcentral is "bacterial SSU rRNA". The record is from RNAcentral. Lineage: Bacteria; Bacillati; Bacillota; Bacilli; Caryophanales; Bacillaceae.